Molecule: ribosomal RNA, 109 nt
Filed under: Saimiri boliviensis boliviensis (Bolivian squirrel monkey)
Lineage: Eukaryota; Metazoa; Chordata; Mammalia; Primates; Cebidae
Source: RNAcentral
GCCUCUGGGUGCCAUAGCAGCCUAAGGGCACCCCGGUUCAGAAGCUAAGCAGGGUCGGCCUGUCUGGGAUUUUUAUGGGGUCCGCCUGGAAAGACAGCAACUGGAGGCU